CCUACGGGGGGCUGCAGUGGGGAAUAUUGGACAAUGGGCGAAAGCCUGAUCCAGCCAUGCCGCGUGUGUGAAGAAGGCCUUCGGGUUGUAAAGCACUUUCAGCGGGGAGGAAGGCGUUAAGGUUAAUAACCUUGGCGAUUGACGUUACCCGCAGAAGAAGCACCGGCUAACUCCGUGCCAGCAGCCGCGGUAAUACGGAGGGUGCAAGCGUUAAUCGGAAUUACUGGGCGUAAAGCGCACGCAGGCGGUCUGUCAAGUCGGAUGUGAAAUCCCCGGGCUCAACCUGGGAACUGCAUUCGAAACUGGCAGGCUAGAGUCUUGUAGAGGGGGGUAGAAUUCCAGGUGUAGCGGUGAAAUGCGUAGAGAUCUGGAGGAAUACCGGUGGCGAAGGCGGCCCCCUGGACAAAGACUGACGCUCAGGUGCGAAAGCGUGGGGAGCAAACAGGAUUAGAUACCCCGGUAGUC
Molecule: ribosomal RNA, 465 nt
Filed under: uncultured Klebsiella sp.
Lineage: Bacteria; Pseudomonadati; Pseudomonadota; Gammaproteobacteria; Enterobacterales; Enterobacteriaceae
Description: bacterial SSU rRNA
Rfam family: Bacterial small subunit ribosomal RNA
Source: RNAcentral